UACGAAGGGGGCUAGCGUUGCUCGGAAUUACUGGGCGUAAAGGGCGCGUAGGCGGACAGUUUAGUCAGAGGUGAAAGCCCAGGGCUCAACCUUGGAAUUGCCUUUGAUACUGGCUGUCUUGAGUUCGGGAGAGGUGAGUGGAAUGCCGAGUGUAGAGGUGAAAUUCGUAGAUAUUCGGAAGAACACCAGUGGCGAAGGCGGCUCACUGGACCGGUAUUGACGCUGAGGUGCGAAAGCGUGGGGAGCAAACAGG
RNAcentral lists this ribosomal RNA (253 nucleotides) under uncultured bacterium. RNAcentral describes it as "partial 16S ribosomal RNA". It matches the Rfam family "Bacterial small subunit ribosomal RNA", at positions 524 to 776 of the family's 1533-position model. The record is from RNAcentral.